CACGUAGGGUGCGAGCGUUGUCCGGAAUUAUUGGGCGUAAAGAGCUCGUAGGCGGCUUGUCACGUCGGGUGUGAAAGCCCGGGGCUUAACCCCGGGUCUGCAUUCGAUACGGGCUAGCUAGAGUGUGGUAGGGGAGAUCGGAAUUCCUGGUGUAGCGGUGAAAUGCGCAGAUAUCAGGAGGAACACCGGUGGCGAAGGCGGAUCUCUGGGCCAUUACUGACGCUGAGGAACGAAAGCGUGGGGAGCGAACAGG
This 253-nucleotide ribosomal RNA is filed under the name uncultured bacterium. RNAcentral describes it as "partial 16S ribosomal RNA". It matches the Rfam family "Bacterial small subunit ribosomal RNA", at positions 524 to 776 of the family's 1533-position model. The record is from RNAcentral.